GAUGAACGCUAGCGGGAGGCUUAACACAUGCAAGUCGAGGGGCAGCAUAGGGUAGCAAUACUCUGAUGGCGACCGGCAAACGGGUGAGUAACGCGUAUGCAACCUACCCUGUACAGGGGGAUAACCCGGAGAAAUUCGGACUAAUAUCCCGUAAUAAUAUCCGGAGGCAUCUUUGGAUAUUUAAAGUUCCGACGGUACGGGAUGGGCAUGCGUAACAUUAACUGGUUGGUAAGGUAACGGCUUACCAAGGCUAUGAUGUUUAGGGGUCCUGAGAGGGUGGUCCCCCACACUGGUACUGAGACACGGACCAGACUCCUACGGGAGGCAGCAGUGAGGAAUAUUGGUCAAUGGGCGCAAGCCUGAACCAGCCAUCCCCGGUGCAGGAAGACGGCCCUAUGGGUUGUAAACUGCUUUUCCAGGGAGAGAAACUUACGCACGUGUUGCGUGACUGACGGUACCCUGGGAAUAAGCAUCGGCUAACUCCGUGC
Molecule: ribosomal RNA, 488 nt
Filed under: uncultured bacterium
Lineage: Bacteria
Description: bacterial SSU rRNA
Rfam family: Bacterial small subunit ribosomal RNA
Source: RNAcentral